CCCUUUUCUGUGGAGUCUUUCCUGUGAACUUGGAUCUUUGGAUACAGCAAAGGACAAACAAUGGGAAAGAAUUAUCUGCCAUCUUACUGAUACUCAAAAAGAUGCCAGCAGCUUCACAGAAAACCUGCAGUACUGACAACUGAUGAACCGUUUCUCCAUUUGUUUUCAAGCAAAUGCUUUUCUUAUGAAAAAGAAAACUCCUGUUGUCAACUACCACAGUGGCGAAGAGCCUUUGUGCAGCUGCUUUGACUAUACACACAGUGAAAAGACUUUGAGACUAGCAACAUCUCUUGCCUGCUUAGCACCCCUUCACCUUAGACUUGCUCCCCGAGGCAAACUUCCCUCAGCUUCCCAACAUCCUGUGAUGACCUAGAGUAUCCUUCAAGACACUUGUGAGAGUGAUUAGAUUUUCUUACAACUAACAGUUUUGAGAGAAAAAUACUGUUCUUGUUGGUUGUCCUGCAUGUUUUCUAAUUCUUUGUGUUCAUUAUUGCUAUUGUUUGAUUCCUUGUGAAUUAUGUAUCACCUUGUUACUUUUUGAAGAGGGAGAGG
Long non-coding RNA from Tympanuchus pallidicinctus (lesser prairie-chicken), 552 nucleotides. RefSeq lists it as uncharacterized. The transcript has 4 exons. NCBI's taxonomy places the organism in Eukaryota, Metazoa, Chordata, Aves, Galliformes, Phasianidae. The record is from RefSeq and is a predicted model, not a curated record.